Molecule: ribosomal RNA, 465 nt
Filed under: Vreelandella stevensii
Lineage: Bacteria; Pseudomonadati; Pseudomonadota; Gammaproteobacteria; Oceanospirillales; Halomonadaceae
Description: partial 16S ribosomal RNA
Rfam family: Bacterial small subunit ribosomal RNA
Source: RNAcentral
CCUACGGGUGGCAGCAGUGGGGAAUAUUGGACAAUGGGCGAAAGCCUGAUCCAGCCAUGCCGCGUGUGUGAAGAAGGCCUUCGGGUUGUAAAGCACUUUCAGUGGGGAAGAAAGCCUUGGGGCUAAUACCCUCGAGGAAGGACAUCACCCACAGAAGAAGCACCGGCUAACUCCGUGCCAGCAGCCGCGGUAAUACGGAGGGUGCGAGCGUUAAUCGGAAUUACUGGGCGUAAAGCGCGCGUAGGCGGUCUGAUAAGCCGGUUGUGAAAGCCCCGGGCUCAACCUGGGAACGGCAUCCGGAACUGUCAGGCUAGAGUGCAGGAGAGGAAGGUAGAAUUCCCGGUGUAGCGGUGAAAUGCGUAGAGAUCGGGAGGAAUACCAGUGGCGAAGGCGGCCUUCUGGACUGACACUGACGCUGAGGUGCGAAAGCGUGGGUAGCAAACAGGAUUAGAUACCGCAGUAGUC